UGGGGAAUAUUGCACAAUGGGCGAAAGCCUGAUGCAGCGACGCCGCGUGAGGGAUGACGGCCUUCGGGUUGUAAACCUCUUUCAGCAGGGACGAAGCGCAAGUGACGGUACCUGCAGAAGAAGCACCGGCUAACUACGUGCCAGCAGCAGCGGUAAUACGUAGGGUGCAAGCGUUGUCCGGAAUUACUGGGCGUAAAGAGUUCGUAGGCGGUUUGUCGCGUCGUUUGUGAAAACCAGCAGCUCAACUGCUGGCUUGCAGGCGAUACGGGCAGACUUGAGUACUGCAGGGGAGACUGGAAUUCCUGGUGUAGCGGUGAAAUGCGCAGAUAUCAGGAGGAACACCGGUGGCGAAGGCGGGUCUCUGGGCAGUAACUGACGCUGAGGAACGAAAGCGUGGGUAGCGAACAGG
RNAcentral lists this ribosomal RNA (409 nucleotides) under Bacillota bacterium. Its description in RNAcentral is "Firmicutes bacterium partial 16S ribosomal RNA". It matches the Rfam family "Bacterial small subunit ribosomal RNA", at positions 355 to 776 of the family's 1533-position model. Lineage: Bacteria; Bacillati; Bacillota. RNAcentral also lists the same sequence under 1 other name. The record is from RNAcentral.